GUCUGAGCGGUGGGCGAGGCGUAGCGGAGAAUGGCAGGAAGGAUUUCUAGUGAGGCAGUCGCGCUGGGUGUUCCGCGGCCGAGCAUCAGAUUGAUCGGCCACUGUCUUUGUAAAGUCUUCUUCAUUCUCCUCAGUCCAAGGAUGUAUUUCAGAAGGCUCAGAGAGGAAUAGAGACCACUUUGAUACUUACAAAACCAGGGGCACAAAAGAUCUAUAUGAUGAAAUCUCUAUUAAAAUAAAAUGGGUGAUUGCCUGAAAAGCACAUAAGAAAGAGGACAUUUUGCACCAUACGAAAAGACUGUUCACCAGCUGUUCACUGUCAGAGAAAAAGGACACUUCCAGGCUGAAGUGACAGUGCUAAGCUGAAAAACUUUAUAAACAUCAAUGAAUAUUACAAAAGAUGGCCGUGCAAAAAGUUCAAGGUUCAGCACUGUUCCUCGGUGAAGUCAAAUAAUUUGGUUACUUUUUUUGCCCUGAGGACCGUGAGGAUGAUGAACAUAGAAACCUGAUUUCCAUCAUUCAAGACCUGUUCUUUUACUUCAAAGGUACUGUGCUUAUAUAAACUGAGUAACCUACUAGAAAUAUUACUUACAGGAACUGGACAUCUGUGGAGAGAGAAAAAGUGCAAGUCUUUUUAACAAUUUCUCUCUUUUGCAGGUUGGAAAGAAAGUGGUAUUUCGAAAACUGGCUCCCAUAAAUGCAGUCCUGUGUGUCCCUGUCUGUUACACAACUUUCUGCAUUCCCCUUAGGACAUGGCUUUUUGAGAAAAUUAACAAUUUUUGAGGCAUUUGCAGUCCGUCCUGACCUGUUUGUGCUGUACAUUGGACAUGCCUGCAUUUGUGCCCAGUAAAUCAGACCCACAGCUCUUCCCUGUGUGCAUAAUUCCCUCUCCAUGUUAGUGGCUGAGGAAAGCUGCUGCUCCUCCCAUCAUAGGAGCUCCUAAAACUGCAAGAUUGUGAGCGUGUCAGCGUGGUCUGCUUUCUGAGUAGGAAUUGCAUACCAAGCAGAAAGCAGGGAGAGGAAAAGAAAGAAACUAUCUGUAUUCAUCAGUCCUAGGUCUCAGCAGGGCUUGGCAGGAGAGGGAGGAGGCUCGUUAGUUAAUGCAGCAAUUAGGCAAGACACUCCCCACAGUAAAGAGUUGCUCUCUAAACUGGAUGAAGGUGCAGCCUCUGCCCAAACUCACCGGUUCUGCCAAACAACAGACUUUUCAUCAGGGAGAGACUGUGUUUGGCUGACCUCUGCAAUUGUAAAAUGCCUAUAAAAGGAAAAACAUUUUAUAUUUCUCUGAGUCUUUGUGUGCAGAUUAGCUUUCUGUCUAUGGUAAAGGAAACAGGCACAGAAUUCUGGAGGGGAUGAAAAUGGGAGGGUAAGUGAGUUGUUUUUUUACUGCUGUCAUCUGAAACAAGAUAUUUCACUCAUAGGAACUCAUGCUUAAUAUAAGAAUUAUGAUGAUUCAUUUCAUUUUGCAGGCCCUCCUCCAUCCAGUCUGCCAGAGACCACAGCAGCAUGCAGAGAAACUGCUUGUUUCAGAAAAGGACUGGUAUUUCUUUUUAUUCAGCUGUGAUGCUUACUUUUAACUUUAUCUGUAUUCUAAACAGAAUGGAGAAAUCUUUUAGGAGCUAUGUCAUGGACUGCCAUAGCAUAAGUGAAGGACAAAAUACACAUUAAAGUCAGUCAUCCUUGCACUUGUUUUUCUUAAUGCCUAAUGAGGGAUGCUGGCAGAAACAAAAAUUAUUGCCCCCAGGAUCAGCUGGGGGCCAAAUAAAAGACAGCCCCAUUCUCCAGAGCACAAAGGAAUAACAUUUCAAUAGUAAGAAAGCAAAGAGAGAAGAUAACCUUAUUCUAUGCAACAUACCAUGCAUGUAUGUUCCCAAAAAAGGUGGUUUUCUAUGCAGCUCCUGUCAUGUCCUGUCUGAAUUUUAGCUUCACUUAUUGCUUUGAGAUAUGCAGUUUGAAGGCAAAGGCAUACUAGGAAUGCUUUUCCAGUGGUGAUUCCAGAGGAGAAGAUUUCUCAGACACCUAUCUUGUCUUAUGACACGCUCAGCUGGCGGCAGCUUGGCUUGUCAGAGUGGGGGCAGCUUGAUGUGACAGCCUGCUGGCUGCCAGAGGAGGCUCUUCCCUUCCAGGGGAACGGGAGUGGCUGCAGAAUGUUUAGCUGAGCAUCAGUCACCUUAGGAAGGUACCUAUAGAGCUGCACUAAGCAGAGCAGGAGUCUUCAAAAGCACACUUCCACAAAGAAAAAUGGCCAGCAGAAGAGCUGUCUCCAGUGCAUAGCAUUUUUCCCCAAAUCUUUCCUCUCUAAGGAUAAUGGUGUUUAUUUGUGAAGAUCUCUCUGCUGUUGCCCAGAAAUAGCCCACAUAUGUGGAACUCCAGGACUUGCUAUGAGAAAACAACCCACUUUUGGUAAGGCUUAUAAGGAAAAUUGAGGGCAUGUGUUUUUUCUCAGUUGAAAAGUCAUGGCUGUGCAUUCCUACUUCUGCAGAAAUUAGUUGAAAAAAAUCUUACAUUUUGUAUAGUGCUCUAGGAUUAUGAAGUUAUUAAUCUGUUUGCUGGCAGGG
This is a non-coding RNA of Zonotrichia albicollis (white-throated sparrow), 2558 nucleotides long. The record is from RefSeq and is a predicted model, not a curated record. Lineage: Eukaryota; Metazoa; Chordata; Aves; Passeriformes; Passerellidae.